Cotesia glomerata is the source of this 355-nucleotide long non-coding RNA. RefSeq lists it as uncharacterized. NCBI's taxonomy places the organism in Eukaryota, Metazoa, Arthropoda, Insecta, Hymenoptera, Braconidae. The transcript is spliced from 2 exons. The record is from RefSeq and is a predicted model, not a curated record.
AAAAGAUGAACUAUUAAGUUUUAUCGAUAAUUAUUCGCAGAAAUUUCUUCCAAGAAAUGACUAUCGAGAAUUUUUGGAGUUAUCAUCUAUUUUCUUGGGAGCUACGCCAAAGGAUAAUUACACUUUUAAAUGUCCGGGAGCAAUGAGUCAUGCUCGUUGGAUGUCGAAGGCGAUUUAUUGUUUGAAAAUAUUUAUUUUUCGAACAGAGUUUAAGAUUACACCUAAAGAGUUAAAUAAUCUUCGUCAUAUUUGUAUUUUCAUAGUUACAACUUAUAUAAAAGCUUGGUUUACUUCAUCCUCGGCAAUUUUGGCUCCAAAUAAUGAUUUGACUUUGAUGCAACAAUUGAUAUUAUAU